RNAcentral lists this unclassified non-coding RNA (230 nucleotides) under Oryza sativa (Asian cultivated rice). RNAcentral's name for it is "partial microRNA MIR451d precursor". The record is from RNAcentral. Lineage: Eukaryota; Viridiplantae; Streptophyta; Magnoliopsida; Poales; Poaceae.
UGUAUCUGGUUUUGUUGUUGAAGGACGAAAAUCGGAUUCGUUGACAAGUUAAGGGACCUUAGAUAAACUUAUUCCAUAUAAAAAAAGGGCAAACUAAAGCCCAAAUUGAAUUGAAAUCUGGCCUUUGAAGAUUCCAUAAUGUACCAGGAAAAAGUACACCGAAGGUCCCUCAACUUAUCAUCGGGAUAAAAAAACAUCCUCGAACCACAAAACCAGAUAUACGGGAUCUC